CACUGACCUUCUUCUUCUCAGGUGAUGGGUGGGUGCUCUUGGGUUCGCCUUCUCCUUCCCGGUCGCAGGUCAGAGGGUCUCGACCUGGUGCAGGCUUGGGUCCAUUGCUAGAGUCCUCCUCGUUUGGUUUCCACCCACUCAGGUUGACACCAGCAGCACACCACAGCUGUGAGGACAGGGCUGUGAGGUCUCGGUACUCCAGCUUCUCUGGCCUCCCAGAGGCUGCGGUAAUGGAGACUACCCUUUGUCCAGGGUUCCCUUGGAGGCCCCUGAGCAGGAUCCUCAGUGCUCACCUUUGUUGAGGGGUCCUUCUCCACCAGAGGGCGGCAGUACACAGGGACAGGCACAUUUUUCAUCCGGGUAUCUUCCUGGCCUCCAUUGGGGCUCAGCUGCAACAGAGAUGGUUCUGUGGUAUGAGGUCGAGGGAGACACCUUAGCCUUCAGAAACCUCAAUCAGUCGCCUGUUAGCUUCUGGUACACAGUAUACUGCAUCUGGCUCUGCUGGCCCUCUGUGGUGGUUAGUUUUUGCCAACAUGACACAAGUUAGAACCACCUGGGAAGAGGGAACCUCAACUGAGGAACUGCCUCCAUCAGACUGGUCUGUAGGCAUGUAUGUGAGAGGUGAUCCUGGGUUGUGGAAGAAAGCAAGUUGCCAACGCAAUGGAAAACAAGCCAAUAAACAAUGUUCCUCUGUGAUUUCUGCUUCUGUUUCCCUUGACAAUGGAAGUUAAGUCAAAUAAACCCAUUCUUCGCCCAA
RNAcentral lists this long non-coding RNA (757 nucleotides) under Rattus norvegicus (Norway rat). RNAcentral describes it as "long non-coding RNA NONRATT004099". The record is from RNAcentral. Lineage: Eukaryota; Metazoa; Chordata; Mammalia; Rodentia; Muridae.